Molecule: small nuclear RNA, 106 nt
Filed under: Dasypus novemcinctus (nine-banded armadillo)
Lineage: Eukaryota; Metazoa; Chordata; Mammalia; Cingulata; Dasypodidae
Source: RNAcentral
GUGCUUGCUUUGGCAGCUCAUAUACUAACACUGGAAGAUACAGAGAAGAUUAGCAUGGCCCUUGCACAAGGAUGACACACAAAUUUGUGAAGUGUUCCAUCGAUUU